Molecule: long non-coding RNA, 890 nt
Organism: Emys orbicularis (European pond turtle)
Lineage: Eukaryota; Metazoa; Chordata; Testudines; Emydidae
Exons: 3
Source: RefSeq, a predicted model, not a curated record
UUAAGAGUUUCAGCGUUUACCAGUAUGAGCGAGACUAAAAAGCAGCAUGAGCACAGCGUGGCGAACUCAGCAGCACAGGUGACCAUGCAGCCCCCCCAGGGAGGAGGAUUUUGUGGAUGAGAAAGAGGAGGAGGAGAAUGCGCAGCAGGCAAGUGGUGAAUCCGUUCUCCCCAGCAGCCAGGACCUUUUCAUCACCCUGGAGCCAAUACCCUCCCAAGGCGAGAUCCCCGACCCUGAAGCCGGAGAAGGCACCUUUGAUGCAAAUGUUUCCAGGCUCCCCUAUCAUCUCCGUCCCUGAGGUUAUCGCAGAUUAGAAGGCGAAAAAAACACACUCGCGAUGACAUGUUUUCCGAGCUCAUGCAGUCCUCCCGCACUGAUAGGGCACAGCUUAAUGCAUGGAGGCAUUCAGUGGCAGAGGCCAGGAAAGAAUUAAGUGAGCACGAAGAGCGGAGGCAGGACGCGACGCUGAGGCUAAUGGGGGAGCAAACGGACAUGAUGAAGCGUCUGUUGGAGCUGCAGGAAAGCCAACAAGAGCACAGACCCCCACUGCAUCCACUGUAUAACCGCGUGCCCUCCUCCCCAAGUUCCAUAUCCGCCUCACCCAGAUGCCCAAGAACGUAGGGAGGGAGGCUUUGGGCACCCAGCCACUCCACUCCAGAGGAUGGCCCAAGCAACAAAAGGCUAUCAUUCAAACAGUUUGAUUUUUAGUGUGGCUACAAUAAACAAUGUGGCCUUGUCCUUCCCUCCUCCCCCACCCCACCCGGGCUACAUUGUCCGUUAUCUCAUUUUUUUUUAAUUAAUAAAGAAAGAAUGCAUGGUUUCAAAACAAUAGUUACUUUAUUUCGAAGGGGGGAGGGUGGUUGGCUUACAGGGAAUUAAAAUCAACAAAG